AGUGAACGCUGGCGGUAGGCCUAACACAUGCAAGUCGAACGGCAGCACAGUAAGAGCUUGCUCUUACGGGUGGCGAGUGGCGGACGGGUGAGGAAUACAUCGGAAUCUACUUUUUCGUGGGGGAUAACGUAGGGAAACUUACGCUAAUACCGCAUACGACCUACGGGUGAAAGCAGGGGAUCUUCGGACCUUGCGCGAUUGAAUGAGCCGAUGUCGGAUUAGCUAGUUGGCGGGGUAAAGGCCCACCAAGGCGACGAUCCGUAGCUGGUCUGAGAGGAUGAUCAGCCACACUGGAGCUGAGACACGGUCCAGACUCCUACGGGAGGCAGCAGUGGGGAAUAUUGGACAAUGGGCGCAAGCCUGAUCCAGCCAUACCGCGUGGGUGAAGAAGGCCUUCGGGUUGUAAAGCCCUUUUGUUGGGAAAGAAAAGCAGCAGGCUAAUACCCCGCUGUUCUGACGGUACCCAAAGAAUAAGCACCGGCUAACUUCGUG
This 492-nucleotide ribosomal RNA is filed under the name uncultured bacterium. RNAcentral's name for it is "partial 16S ribosomal RNA". It matches the Rfam family "Bacterial small subunit ribosomal RNA", at positions 29 to 507 of the family's 1533-position model. The record is from RNAcentral.